CACCACAAAACUCACGAAGGACCAUCCAACCCAACCAACUAUACCGGUGCAUGACGUUUUAGCGCAGGCCAUUCCCUCGUUCUAGUUUCGUCUAACUUCUAAUCGGAUUUAACACAGAAGAUCGAUGAACAACUGUCCUUAAUUACCGAUUACCACAUUCUUACGAAUAAAUUUUGAUAGAAUUUUCUUUUAUACCGAAUUUAUCGAUCGCUUAUAUCAAGAAAUUUUCUAAUAAAUAUUAUAUCCUAACGAACAAAUGACUAAUUUCAUUUAAUCAAACAAUUGACAUACGAUUUAUCUAUGACGAUAUACAUGAACGUGUUGAAAAGUUUUGAGCCUAACAUAAAAACAAUUUUUGAUUUAUUCAUUUUUAAUUUGUCGUCAUAGUUUCAGAACUUUUUAAUUCACCCUUGCCUUGUACGUGUACAAACAAUUAUAACAAUGAACUAAUUCAAAGAAAAAAAGGGAGAAACAAUUUAUAUUUUAUAAUUAUAAUUAAUUGUAAUAUUAAAUAACUAGAGUGGUGUACAAGAGCGAGUAUCAAAAUAAAUUGUAUUAUACAUUUUCGAUUUAGUUUUUCACGUAGAAUCAUCAUCCCCUGUGUUCCAUCAGUUACAGUAGACCCUGUAUAUUUAAUUACUUUUACUUUCCAUACAACCCCAAUGAUAAAUACUGAAUUUAUUUAUUCUAUUAAAUACAAAAUGUUAACUAUUUUCUAUACUUUUAUUUAUUCCAUCCUUCGGGAUUUAUUUUAUAAUCGAUUAUCGGCAUUUAUUGCACUGAGACUUGACACGUCAGUAGCUAUACUGAUUUUUGAACGAGGAAUAUUAAUUAUUCCCGUAUUUAAUGUAUUUUCAUUGUCAUCGAUUUCGUUCGACUUCUUGUUCUGCAUCUUUUCCAAGAUUUUUUUAGAAGACAUCAUAACGGGAAAUUUUUUACAUUGUUCACAGGGCAUACUGCACUCUUUUCUAAGUUCUGAUAUCAUACCAAUGCAGCGUACAAAUUCGGCCGGACAAUUUUGUAUGGCGUCUUUCUGCCUCCUCACUGUCUAUUUGAAUUUAACAAAUUCGAGAGUUUUCAAACAAUUUCAUUAAGAUUUUCAUGGUUGUUGUAACAGGAAAGUGGACAACUUGGUGGUAUCGAAUGAUGGUGAAUUCCGUAUGGUUCGUAUGGAAUAUAACGGUGAUAAGAAUGAGAUGGACGAGACGAGGAUUUGUAAGAUUGUUUUGUGUUACACAUCAGCUACGAGUUGAAUGAUUCCAAAUUGUUUUUUAUCUUCUCUCUCUUUCUGAUUUUCUUUUAUACGUUUUAUAUUUUGCACGUGAAUAC
Molecule: long non-coding RNA, 1329 nt
Filed under: Polistes fuscatus (common paper wasp)
Lineage: Eukaryota; Metazoa; Arthropoda; Insecta; Hymenoptera; Vespidae
Description: uncharacterized LOC122518317
Source: RNAcentral